AGUGAACGCUGGCGGUAGGCCUAACACAUGCAAGUCGAACGGCAGCACAGUAAGAGCUUGCUCUUACGGGUGGCGAGUGGCGGACGGGUGAGGAAUACAUCGGAAUCUACUUUUUCGUGGGGGAUAACGUAGGGAAACUUACGCUAAUACCGCAGACGACCUACGGGUGAAAGCAGGGGAUCUUCGGACCUUGCGCGAAUGAAUGAGCCGAUGUCGGAUUAGCUAGUUGGCGGGGUAAAGGCCCACCAAGGCGACGAUCCGUAGCUGGUCUGAGAGGAUGGUCAGCCACACUGGAACUGAGACACGCUCCAGACUCCUACGGGAGGCAGCAGUGGGGAAUGUUGGACAGUGGGCGCGAGCCUGGUCCAGCCAUACCACGUGGGUGAAGAAGACCUUCGGGUUGUAAAGCCCUUUUGUUGGGAAAGAAAAGCAGCAGGUUAAUACCCCGCUGUUCUGACGGUACCCAAAGAAUAAGCACCGGCUAACUUCGUG
This 492-nucleotide ribosomal RNA is filed under the name uncultured bacterium. Its description in RNAcentral is "partial 16S ribosomal RNA". It matches the Rfam family "Bacterial small subunit ribosomal RNA", at positions 29 to 507 of the family's 1533-position model. The record is from RNAcentral.